CCUACGGGGGGCUGCAGUAAGGAAUAUUGGGCAAUGGAGGCAACUCUGACCCAGCCAUGCCGCGUGAAGGAUGACGGCCCUAUGGGUUGUAAACUUCUUUUAUACGGGAAUAAACCCGGGUACGUGUACCCGGCUGAAUGUACCGUAAGAAUAAGGAUCGGCUAACUCCGUGCCAGCAGCCGCGGUAAUACGGAGGAUCCAGGCGUUAUUCGGAUUCAUUGGGGUUAAGGCGUGUGUGUAAGGAUGCGGUGAAAUCCUACAGCUUAACGGUAGAACUGCCGUUGAUACUGCAAGUCUUGAGUACAGUUGAUGUGGGCGGAAUGUGUCAUGUAGCGGUGAAAUGCUUAGAUAUGACACGGAACACCGAUUGCGAAGGCAGCUCACAAAACUGUAACUGACGCUGAGGCACGACAGCGUGGGGAUCAAACAGGAUUAGAUACCCUUGUAGUC
Molecule: ribosomal RNA, 450 nt
Filed under: uncultured bacterium
Lineage: Bacteria
Description: partial 16S ribosomal RNA
Rfam family: Bacterial small subunit ribosomal RNA
Source: RNAcentral